AGUGGGUUGCUGGGUCAUUUGUUAAAUAUAUAUAUUUUUUUAACUUUCUGAGAAACUGUCAAACUGCUUUGCAGAGUUGCUGAACCAUUUUGUAUUUCCAUCAGCAAU
This 108-nucleotide microRNA precursor is filed under the name Marmota monax (woodchuck). Lineage: Eukaryota; Metazoa; Chordata; Mammalia; Rodentia; Sciuridae. The record is from RNAcentral.